This 259-nucleotide ribosomal RNA is filed under the name uncultured bacterium. Its description in RNAcentral is "partial 16S ribosomal RNA". It matches the Rfam family "Bacterial small subunit ribosomal RNA", at positions 355 to 603 of the family's 1533-position model. The record is from RNAcentral.
UAGGGAAUCUUCCACAAUGGACGCAAGUCUGAUGGAGCAACGCCGCGUGAGUGAAGAAGGCUUUCGGGUCGUAAAACUCUGUUAUUGAAGAAGAACGUGUGUGACAGUAACUGGUCAUGCAGUGACGGUAUUCAAUCAGAAAGUCACGGCUAACUUACGUGCCAGCAGCCGCGGUAAUACGUAGGUGGCAAGCGUUGUCCGGAUUUAUUGGGCAGUAAAGCGAGUGCAGGCGGGUCUUUUAAGUCUGAUGUGAAAGCCU